RNAcentral lists this ribosomal RNA (253 nucleotides) under uncultured bacterium. RNAcentral describes it as "partial 16S ribosomal RNA". It matches the Rfam family "Bacterial small subunit ribosomal RNA", at positions 524 to 776 of the family's 1533-position model. The record is from RNAcentral.
UACAGAGGGUGCAAGCGUUAAUCGGAAUUACUGGGCGUAAAGCGUGCGUAGACGGUUAUGUAAGUCAGAUGUGAAAGCCCCGGGCUCAACCUGGGAAUUGCAUUUGAGACUGAAUAGCUAGGGUACGGUAGAGGGAAGCGGAAUUUCCGGUGUAGCGGUGAAAUGCGUAGAUAUCGGAAGGAACAUCAGUGGCGAAGGCGGCGAUCUGGGAAGAUACUGACGCUGAGGUGCGAAAGCGUGGGGAGCAAACAGG